RNAcentral lists this ribosomal RNA (253 nucleotides) under uncultured bacterium. Its description in RNAcentral is "partial 16S ribosomal RNA". It matches the Rfam family "Bacterial small subunit ribosomal RNA", at positions 524 to 776 of the family's 1533-position model. The record is from RNAcentral.
UACAGAGGGGGCAAGCGUUAAUCGGAAUUACUGGGCGUAAAGCGUGCGCAGGCGGUUUUGUAAGUCUGUCGUGAAAUCCCCGGGCUCAACCUGGGAAUGGCGAUGGAGACUGCAAGGCUAGAGUUUGGCAGAGGGGGGUAGAAUUCCACGUGUAGCAGUGAAAUGCGUAGAUAUGUGGAGGAACACCGAUGGCGAAGGCAGCCCCCUGGGUCAAAACUGACGCUCAUGCACGAAAGCGUGGGGAGCAAACAGG